This 73-nucleotide transfer RNA is filed under the name Paramuricea clavata. It matches the Rfam family "tRNA". From Rfam's summary of the family: Transfer RNA (tRNA) molecules are approximately 80 nucleotides in length. The record is from Rfam by way of RNAcentral. Lineage: Eukaryota; Metazoa; Cnidaria; Anthozoa; Malacalcyonacea; Plexauridae.
GACCGCGUAGCUCAGUUGGAAGAGCAUUGGGCUAGUGUUUCAAAUGUCGUAGGUUCGAAUCCCACCGUGGCCA